This is a long non-coding RNA of Saccostrea cuccullata (small rock oyster), 2532 nucleotides long. RefSeq lists it as uncharacterized. The record is from RefSeq and is a predicted model, not a curated record. NCBI's taxonomy places the organism in Eukaryota, Metazoa, Mollusca, Bivalvia, Ostreida, Ostreidae. The transcript has 2 exons.
CCAAAUGAAAUUAUGAGUCAGGUUGGUGAACAUGAUAUGUGACCAGUGACUGGGGAAAAAAUCUAAGCCAAAGGAACUGCAGCAUCUCAAUAUAUUUUACAAAAAGAAAUCAUUGUUUUAAAAAUUAAUGAUGGAAUGUUGCGCUGUUUUGAGAUGUUAAAAUUUGUCAUUCCAUAAAUUUCAUAUGAAUAUUUAAUAUAAAUUACUGUGAUACAAUGUUAAAUGUGACUAUGUGACUAAAUGUGACUUUGAUACUAUAGUUAAUCAUUUAAACACUGCUUUUUAAAGAUUUGUGGAAAAGUGUUUUUUAUCUCCAUAGUCUUUUGUUCUAGAAAUGUACUAUUUAAUUAAUGACUUGUGAGUAGUUUAUUGGAUUGAUUUGUAAGUAAUUUAUUGAAAUGAUUUGUUUGUGAAUUUUUAAAGCAGUCUAUUGAAGAGAUUGGUUAGUAGUGUGUUAUUGUUAAUUUAAUUUGUUUAGUAGUGUGUUAAAGUACUGUAAUAUGGUUAGCAGUUUGUUUAUGUGAUUUGUAAGUUAGAUUUUUUAACUGAUUUGUAUGUUAGAAGUUUGUGAAGUGAUUUGUUAUUUAAUUAUGAAUUUAUAAGUACAUGUAAUUUUAAAUGAUUUGUUCUUAAAGUGAUUUGUUAGAAGUUUGUGAAGUGAUUUGUUAAAAUUAAUUCGCUACAUUCAUAAUUCGUUAUAUCCGAAUAACGAAUUCGUAUAACCAUUAUACCAAAUUCGCCAUAUGCAUGUUUUCCUUCAAGUAUUAGUACCAAAUUUAAAUAGGUUAGGGAAGCAAAUAUUACAAAACAUUUCUUUGAUAACCAGGGUUAUAUUAUGAAUUGAAUUUUAUAUACAAAAGCUAAAAAGAGAUAAAGCCAGUUCAAUUUAUCAAUUUUUUAUAAUCUUUGAAAGUUCGCUAUAAAAGAUGUAAAUUUUAAUAUAUUUAACCUCAACGGGACUCAAUACAGUUCACUAUAUUCGUUAAUUUGUUAUAACAGAGUUCGUUAUUACUGUAAAAUUUUACAAAGAUUUGUUAAGAAUUUUGCCGUAGACCCAGAAAAACUUCGCUGUAUCCGUGAAUUCACUAGUAUAUCCAUGUUUGUACUAAAUGAGUUUUACUGUAGUGUGUUUAUCUUAUGUCAAACUAGUUUGUUCAAGUGAUAUGCUUGUAGUUUGUUAAUAUUAAUGAUUUGUUUGUAGUUUGUCAAGUGAUUUGUUUUUAGUUUAUUGAAUAUUGUAGGAUUUUGUAAGUGUUUUGUUUUUACAUGUACAAACACUGUAAUAAGUUGAAGUGUUUUGUGAUUGUUUUUAAUUUGUUAGAGUGUUUUGUAAUUAUUUUGUUAGUGAUUUUUGUUUUCAGUUUAAGUGAUUUGAUAGUGUUAAGGAAUUUGUUAUUAGUGUAUUGAUAUGUUUAUUUGUACAAAUGUAAGAGUGUUGUUCAUGUAGUUCACUUUUAGUUUUUUGAAGUGACUUAUUGGUAGUCUCUUUGUAGUUUGUUAAAGUGAUAUUUUUAGUUACUUUAGAUGAUUUGUUAGUAGUUUUGUGAACAGGAAGUAAUUUGUUAAAAUGAUUGAAGUUGUUAGGCUUUUUUGUCAAUUUGGGCAUCUAGCUUUUACUUAAGACUAAAUUUUUUUUAAAGCUCUUAAAAAUUUUAUCUAUUAUUCUUAAAAAUAUGGUUGAUGUUAAUUUAUAAUAUUUCAUUUCUAAAUUUUUUUCUCUGUGAUAACUCUUUGAAAGUUAGAGGAGUUGAUUUCUUGAUAAUUCUACCGAAAUGUAAACUAGGCAGGUUGAUAGGUCAGGAGCUAAGGAGGCCAAAUAUGCAUGCAAAUCUUGUGUGGCUGCCUUUGUGUUUGUCUCCGUUUUUAAAGUCUAAAUCUACAAUUUUUUUUCCACAAUGAAAUGGAAAUACCGUGUAAGUGGAAAUUUUAGCGAGACGCAAAUUUAGCGUUUUGUCCUUAAAAACUGGAAAUUUUUUUUAACGAGAUGUUAUUUUAGCGAUUUUAAAAUGCACAUUAAAGAAACUAUUACAAAUAAAACGCAACUAAUUUUUAGCCAUAUUCAAUUGUAGUGAUCUUGACACCCUCGCUAAUAAUGCCAAAAUGAAAUCCUUGCUAAAAAUUCUACUUAUACGGUAUAAGGAAUCAUUGUCUAGUUGGUAUAGUAUUCUAGGGACAUCAAUGAUAGUGGGAAACAUGGGAUAAUUUAUGCAUAAAGGGCCUCGUCAUGCAAAUAAUCCCAUGUUUCCCACUAUCAUUGAUGCCCUGGCAUACUUCACUAACUAGACAGUGAUUCCUUAAAUAUGACUACAUAAAAAAAAAGAUGAGUUGUAGUUACAUUUGACAUUGUACUUCGAAUUGGUUCUCAUUGGAAUGAAACUUGAUGGAAGGAUGAAUCUAUUGCAUUUGUAAUUUAUACAUUUGCACGUGUCAUUUUAAAUUGGUUAAUUUCUUUUUAUUUGUAAUAAUAUAACCAUUUUCAGAUUUUCUAUAUGAUGAUUUUGAUAAAAUGACAUAAUAAAUAAUCCAAGUUCA